GCAACAGCUCAAAUUUGAAAUCUGGCUCUUUUAGGGUCCGAGUUGUAAUUUGCAGAGGGCGCUUUGGCGUUGGCAGCGGUCCAAGUUCUUUGGAACAGGACGUCACAGAGGGUGAGAAUCCCGUACGUGGUCGCUAGCCUUCGCCGUGUAAAGCCCCUUCGACGAGUCGAGUUGUUUGGGAAUGCAGCUCUAAAUGGGAGGUAAAUUUCUUCUAAAGCUAAAUACUGGCCAGAGACCGAUAGCGCACAAGUAGAGUGAUCGAAAGAUGAAAAGCACUUUGGAAAGAGAGUCAAAUAGCACGUGAAAUUGUUGAAAGGGAAGCGCUUGCAGCCAGACUUGCCUGUAGUUGCUUAUCCGGACUUUUGUCCGGUGCACUCUUCUGCGGGCAGGCCAGCAUCAGUCUAGGCGGUUGGAUAAAGGUCUCUGUCAUGUACCUCUCUUCGGGGAGGCCUUAUAGGGGAGACGACAUGCAACCAGCCUGGACUGAGGUCCGCGCAUCUGCUAGGAUGCUGGCGUAAUGGCUGUAAGCGGCCCGUCUUGAAACACGGACCAAGGAGUCUAACAUCUAUGCGAGUGUUUGGGUGUCAAGCCCAGACGCGUAAUGAAAGUGAACGGAGGUGGGAACCCUUUGGGUGCACCAUCGACCGAUCCUGAUGUCUUCGGAUGGAUUUGAGUAAGAGCAUGGCUGUUGGGACCCGAAAGAUGGUGAACUAUGCUUGAAUAGGGUGAAGCCAGAGGAAACUCUGGUGGAGGCUCGCAGCGGUUCUGACGUGCAAAUCG
RNAcentral lists this ribosomal RNA (780 nucleotides) under Neosetophoma aseptata. RNAcentral's name for it is "partial large subunit ribosomal RNA". It matches the Rfam family "Eukaryotic large subunit ribosomal RNA", at positions 101 to 900 of the family's 3401-position model. The record is from RNAcentral. Lineage: Eukaryota; Fungi; Ascomycota; Dothideomycetes; Pleosporales; Phaeosphaeriaceae.